RNAcentral lists this ribosomal RNA (518 nucleotides) under Porphyromonas gingivalis. RNAcentral's name for it is "bacterial SSU rRNA". It matches the Rfam family "Bacterial small subunit ribosomal RNA", at positions 874 to 1401 of the family's 1533-position model. Lineage: Bacteria; Pseudomonadati; Bacteroidota; Bacteroidia; Bacteroidales; Porphyromonadaceae. The record is from RNAcentral.
UGGAGCGGGGACAGAUUCUUAAGGAAUUGACGGGAGGGCCGCACAAGCGGAGGAACAUGUGGUUUAAUUCGAUGAUACGCGAGGAACCUUACCCGGGCUUGAAAUGCGGCGGACCGGCAGAGAGAUCUGCCUUCCCUUCGGGGCCGCCGUGUAGGUGCUGCAUGGUUGUCGUCAGCUCGUGCCGUGAGGUGUCGGCUUAAGUGCCAUAACGAGCGCAACCCUCAUCAUUAGUUACUAACAGGUCAUGCUGAGGACUCUAGUGAGACUGCCAUCGUAAGAUGCGAGGAAGGUGGGGAUGACGUCAAAUCAGCGCGGCCCUUACGUCCGGGGCGACACACGUGUUACAAUGGGUGGUACAGAGGGCAGCUACCUGGCGACAGGAUGCUAAUCUCCAAAACCACUCUCAGUUCUGAUCGGAGUCUGCAACUCGACUCCGUGAAGCUGGAUUCGCUAGUAAUCGCGCAUCAGCCACGGCGCGGUGAAUACGUUCCCGCGUCUUGCACACACCGCCCGAAUCU